AUGCUUGCAGCACAAUUAGUUAUAGCUGAGGCUGAUGUAUGUGCCCCUCUUGGUCUGGGUGGAUUGUGUUUGCCUGCAUAUUGCACAUCUUCUGUCAUGGAUGUAAGAGGCAGCAGAUGCUCAGUUGGAAGUGGCUUUGAACUGUUCUCUCUGCCCAUGCCAGAGAUCCCCAGCCUGCUUUACAUGGAGAUAAUCACAUAUGCAGCACACUGGAUGAGUCAAUGCCAUACUUCGGAAAAGAAAAAGUAUACUGUAAAAGUACAGGGAGAUUAUAAGAGAAAAAUCUGAUAACUUUUGAUCUGAAGAUCUCAUUAAGAUCAUAAAAAGCAAAAAGAAACAAUAAAAUACCACACGAUCAUCUCA
This 363-nucleotide long non-coding RNA is filed under the name Anas platyrhynchos platyrhynchos (common mallard). RNAcentral's name for it is "lncRNA (ENSAPLG00000029849.1)". Lineage: Eukaryota; Metazoa; Chordata; Aves; Anseriformes; Anatidae. The record is from RNAcentral.